GUUAUAAAAUAAACAUAAUAAUUUUUAACUGAAAUAAUAUUUUAAAAAUCAAACAGAAAUCUUGAAAAUGAGAAACACAUUUGCUGAACUGAAGAAUUCAUUAGAGGCUCUCAGCAGUAGAAUGGACCAGGCAGAGGAAAGAAUUGGGACCCAGGCUGGAGUGCAGUGGCGUGAUCAUGGCUCACUGCAGCCUCAACCUCCUGAAUUCAAGCAAUGCUUCCACCUCAGUCUCCCAAGUAGCUGGGACUACAGGGCGUGCCUUUCUUAGAGCAGUCCUGGUGCCACUAAAAGCUGCAUUUUCAAUAUGAGAUAAAAAUGUAUUUUACAAAAAGUGCAAGGUCUUCAUGUCUGCUGGCAUUGCUGCAACAGUGGCUUGUGUGAGAGAUCACUUUUUACGGCAAUACCCAAUUUAUUGGAGAGACAAACUGCUCAAGCAAGGAUGAUUAGCAUUCUAUGGCAUUUCAAAAGGAUACUUGCAAUGCUUGACCUUACCACAAUAGCAACAGGAGGUAGCUACAAAAUUAUUACAAUAGUAGAGUAUGGUACCACAGUUAAUUUUAUGUAGUUAUAAUUUAAUACUGCAUCUUUAUGUUUGUUCACAUUUCUCUGGACUGUGAAUGGCACUAUGCAUGGUCUGUGUUUGUGCAGAUUUUGAUUAAUGUUAACUUUUUGUAAUAGAUUUGUAUAUAUCUUAUGGUAGUAAAUAAAUGAUAAAGUAGAGUAUUAUAUAC
Molecule: long non-coding RNA, 731 nt
Filed under: Homo sapiens (human)
Lineage: Eukaryota; Metazoa; Chordata; Mammalia; Primates; Hominidae
Description: HSALNT0093159
Source: RNAcentral